GCCUGCUCAACAAGAAGGUUCGGGAAGAAUACCGGAAGUGGGCCUGCCUAGUUGCUGGGGGGAGCAAGUACUCAGAAUUCACCUCCACCACGUCUGGCACUGGCCACAAUCAGACCCGGGCCCUCAGGGCAUCAGAGUCCGGCAUAUGAAGGCGCAUGGUUCUGGACGGCCCAGCAGCUCCUGUGGCCACAGCAGCUUUGUACACGAAGACCAUCCAUCCUCCCUUCGUCCACCACUCUACUCCCUCCACCCUCCCUCCCUGAUCCCGUGUGCCACCAGGAGGGAGUGGCAGCUAUAGUCUGGCACCAAAGUCCAGGACACCCAGUGGGGUGGAGUCGGAGCCACUGGUCCUGCUGCUGGCUGCCUCUCUGCUCCACCUUGUGACCCAGGGUGGGGACAGGGGCUGGCCCAGGGCUGCAAUGCAGCAUGUUGCCCUGGCACCUGUGGCCAGUACUCGGGACAGACUAAGGGCGCUUGUCCCAUCCUGGACUUUUCCUCUCAUGUCUUUGCUGCAGAACUGAAGAGACUAGGCGCUGGGGCUCAGCUUCCCUCUUAAGCUAAGACUGAUGUCAGAGGCCCCAUGGCGAGGCCCCUUGGGGCCACUGCCUGAGGCUCACGGUACAGAGGCCUGCCCUGCCUGGCCGGGCAGGAGGUUCUCACUGUUGUGAAGGUUGUAGACGUUGUGUAAUGUGUUUUUAUCUGUUAAAAUUUUUCAGUGUUGACACUUAAAAUUAAACACAUGCAUAC
RNAcentral lists this long non-coding RNA (747 nucleotides) under Homo sapiens (human). RNAcentral describes it as "HSALNT0256223". The record is from RNAcentral. Lineage: Eukaryota; Metazoa; Chordata; Mammalia; Primates; Hominidae.